RNAcentral lists this ribosomal RNA (596 nucleotides) under uncultured Thermoproteales archaeon. Its description in RNAcentral is "partial 16S ribosomal RNA". It matches the Rfam family "Archaeal small subunit ribosomal RNA", at positions 1 to 577 of the family's 1478-position model. Lineage: Archaea; Thermoproteati; Thermoproteota; Thermoprotei; Thermoproteales. The record is from RNAcentral.
UCCGGUUGAUCCUGCCGGACCCGACCGCUAUCGGGGUAGGGCUAAGCCAUGCGAGUCGCGCGCCCGGGGGCGCCCGGGAGCGGCGCACGGCUCAGUAACACGUGCCCAACCUACCCUCGGGAGGGGGACACCCCCGGGAAACUGGGGCCAAUCCCCCAUAGGGGAGGGGCGCUGGAAGGCCCCCUCCCCCAAAGGGAUGGCGGCCGAUCCGCCGCCAUCCGCCCGAGGAUGGGGGCACGGCCCAUCAGGUAGUUGGCGGGUUAAAGGCCCGCCAAGCCGAAGACGGGUAGGGGCGGUGAGAGCCGCGAGCCCCGAGAUCGGCACUGAGACAAGGGCCGAGGCCCUACGGGGUGCAGCAGGCGCGAAUACUCCGCAAUGCGGGCAACCGCGACGGGGCUACCCCGAGUGCCGGGCGAAAAGCCCGGCUUUUGCCCGGUCUAAAAAGCCGGGAGAAUAAGCGGGGGGCAAGUCUGGUGUCAGCCGCCGCGGUAAUACCUGCUCCGCGAGUGGACGGGGUGUUUACUGGGCUUAAAGCGCCCGUACCCGGCCCGGCAAGUCGCUCCUGAAAUCCCCGGGCUCAACCCGGGGGCGGGGGG